UUGAGAAAAAAAAAAAAAAAGUUAAUGUUUACAUAAUUCAAAAAACGAGUUCUGUGUGAAUGGCCCCUUGUUGCCAUAGAGGGCCUACAACUUUACAUUUGAAAAUGGCAAAUAAAUACUGCAGUUUUGUGGCAGGCUUGUUUUAAAAUGACGUAAACCCUAAAACAGACAACACAACGGCCCAUUGUUUUUAGUUUGUUUCCUUGCAUUUUUCUUUUUAACCAUAGCCACUUCUUCUUGUUCUCUUUUUAAUUGCUUAACUGCACCCCAUUGGCAGUGCUGAUAUAUGCUGAAUCAUGCAAAGCAUGUGAUAGGCUGGUCGUAGCGCUGCACAAAACACAUAUCUCAUACAAAACAUAGGCAAAGCCCUGAGUAUAAUGGCACAGGGGCUCAUAAAAUACCACAUGCUCCCUGCCAGGGUCCUGUGUAUUUUUGAGCCUGAUUCAUACUGACAGAAGGCUUUUUUCCACUUUGUGGAAUUACAUUAUAACAGUGCAUAGUGACUUCAACCAGCCAAACCAACAGGGAAAAGAUUCAAUUAAGUUUGGCGAACAACUGGAGGAUAAAAACAAACAAAGAUGAAAUAUGAAGCAUAAUGAACAACAGCAGACUUCAUAAAAGAUUACACGAAAUAUGUAAAUACAAAUGCUGAUGAUAAAAUGUUAUUCAAUGGGACACAAACUACUUUUCAAGUAUGUGAGAAUUCUAUAUUUUUAUAGUAAUUCUUUUUGUCCUUUUAUAGAUCUUGACAGCCGCAAGUUAUGCUUUCAAUGAAUGAAAAAGAGCAACAAGAACAUUCUUCUAAAUAUCUCCUUUUGUGUUUCCACAGGAGAAAGAAAGUCAUUCAGCCUGUCUCACUGAACAAUGCCGCCCAGUGUGUGUUCAGGGCCACCGGCCCCAACGUUACUGCUUUAGGAGCGGGAACCAAGACAGGAGCUGACACAAAGCAGCUGUCUGAGACCACUAGAGUUGCAGGAAGUCCUGCCAACAUCUGGUCCUUCUAUUAGAGACCCUCGAGAACCAAAGCAGGCGACAGCAGGCUCUAAGAGUGAGACAGACUCUAAAGGGAAAGACAUCCAUCUCAUGUGAAGUGUUAAAGGAAAUCCUGUGAGCGUGCUGUUAUUCAAACAGAGUCCAGAACCCCUGAGAGUCAUUCAACAGCUUUUAUUUAACAGAGAGAGCAAAGGAGGACGCUGUGCCCUAGAAGCUGGAAUGUGACACGGAGAGGGCAGGAGGCAGAAAUAUUCACCACACUGACGGACACAGAUGAGUCAGAAUGAAACUCUGGAGAGCAACCAUAAAAGCCUGUGAUAGUCUUUGACCUGCCCACCCAAUGUGGCCAUCUUCUUCUAAUCUGAUAGGAAGCACUAUAGCUGUCUGUCUGUGACUGAGACCUGAGCUUUUGAUCGCUCAGUCUGAUCUUCUAACAACUCCAUCAUCACCAUCCACGAAAUGAUCAAAGUCAGCUUGUACGAUUAUAAAUACGGCAGGAAGGAAUUGUGGUUAAAAUCAAGCAAUGCUUUGAAAUCACUAAUUAACAGUCUGAAAUCUGAUCUAAAUCAAUGUAAAGAUAAGGAAAGUGACUAAAAAGUGUUAGAUUUGCUGCAGCUUACAUUAUUUUCAUUCUAAGCAAUGAAGUGCCACAUGCUGAAAAACAUGAGAAUUUAGUAGUUGCACUAAUAGUUCUUUUUCCAUAUUGCACGAGAGUGCAUGAUCAAAGAGUAGUCGAGCGUUGACAUAUCUCAUGUGACAUGUCUGUUGAUAACCUCACUAGAUAAUGGCUGGUAAUAAAGCUGUUCGAGCAGAGACAACCAGCUAUAAACAUACCAUGGAAAACAAUGGGCUCUGUACAUUGUUGUCUUGCCUGUUUUCUAUUUUCAAUUCUCAACCGAAUGAAAUACACUGUCACUAACAUAAUAAACUUAAUGGAGAUGUCAUGAUUGAAAAAAACUCUUUUCCCAGGGAAGGUAAUUAAGCAUUUAAUGGGCAUGUUAAUAGUUCUCCAACAGCACAUGAGACCACGUGAGCGAAUAAAAGCAGAGAGACGGAGCCGAUCUCUGCCAGAUGAGAUCCACAGAUUCUGAAGGCACAUUAUGUAGCAGAUUGCAGAGCUACUGAAGUCCAAACUCACUCAUGGAGAUGAUUGGAUUAGUGUGAUUGUUCAAAAGCUUUAUGUAACGUUGAGCAUCUCUGGGAAAAAAAUAAUGAGGAAAUCUUUUCCUAGCCAAAGAUUACAUCUAUAGCAAAAACCAUAUUGAUGAUGCACAUGAAGUGAAAAACACCAAUGCAUUCAAGUAAACGGGUAAUUACAACAUUAUGACUUACCAGCUUUGCGAUUCACAAUGUUACUGAUCUUUGAUUUUGAUCCAGAACUUUUCAAUGGAUAUAAGUAUAAACCACAUCCUUAACAACACCCCAUCCCUCAUUUGUGUUCCUGUUGAAACAACAGGCAUAAGGCUCUGCUGAAGCAGCACAAUUCAGCAUCAGCCAUUCAGCUGCCCCAUGUGCUGGCCUUUACUGCCCUGCUGCCCAGAGUCAACAAACCAGGGCUGAUGGGGUGUGCCUGCAUUUGACACAGAGCCCCUGAUGGCUCAGCACUGGAAAAACUAUAUUAAAAACAUUGAUACAUUCCAUACACUAAGAUAUUCGACAGUAUUCAGUUCAAGUGCGUGGAUUAUAGUCUUAUAUAUCAUUUUAAUUCUUCUAAGAAGAUGUAAUGCAAAACAUAAACAUAAAUUAUGUUACAUUCUUACAUUUCAAGCUUAAAGGGUUUGUUCACCCAAAAAUGAAAAUAAUGCCAUUUAUUACGCACCCUCAUGUCGUUCCACAACCGUAAGACCUUUGUUCAUCUUCGGAACACAAAUUAAGAU
Molecule: long non-coding RNA, 2870 nt
Organism: Megalobrama amblycephala (Wuchang bream)
Lineage: Eukaryota; Metazoa; Chordata; Actinopteri; Cypriniformes; Xenocyprididae
Exons: 5
Source: RefSeq, a predicted model, not a curated record